GCCCUAGUAGCUUAGCUACAAAGCGCCGGUCUUGUAAUCCGGAGAUCAAGGGUUUAACCCCCUUCUAGCGCC
RNAcentral lists this transfer RNA (72 nucleotides) under Chaca bankanensis (angler catfish). RNAcentral's name for it is "tRNA-Thr". It matches the Rfam family "tRNA". Rfam says of the family: Transfer RNA (tRNA) molecules are approximately 80 nucleotides in length. The record is from RNAcentral. Lineage: Eukaryota; Metazoa; Chordata; Actinopteri; Siluriformes; Chacidae.